GAGAGCGCCGGGCGGGAGGAGAGCGCCGGGCGGGAGGAGAGCGCCGGGCGGCCGGAAACAGAAACGAAGAGGUCCCUAGUGUAGAGCAGCAGCAACGAGCGUUGUAGCGCGCUCAGGAGCCUCCUACAAUAUGGCCGGCUCUACUCGCCUCCUUCCUCCCGCCCCCUGACAUCGUGACACGUGGUUAGCUCUCAGCCAAUAACACGCCGAUGACAGCCGCGCGCCUCAGGCUUUGUAGGCGGAGGCGCGAUUCGAAUCCCGCCGCCGCCGACAUAUAGAUGAGCCCGCGCGCCAGUGAGGUCCCGCCCUGCCCACUGCGUGAAGUGUCGGUUCGUUCUGUACCGCGCCGUCCUUUGUUGUGGUGCUAAGAAACAAAGAGGAGUCCGACAGAGCAAAUACUGCAGUCUGUGCUUUGAAGAAACAGAGCAAAAGAACAAAAAUUUAGUAUCAAUGUUUUUCCAAAACAAGAAGUUACAAAAAAAAUUGUUGCAGUGCUCCUAGAUGUCUCUUGCUGACAGCCUCAUUGAAUGCCAAGUAAGUGAACUUUAUUAAGUGUUUUUCAUAACCCGAAAGCACAAAAUAAACCUGUACAUUUGUGAACAUCCUAUCAGGAUCUGAUCCCGAGUUCGCAGUUAACUUUAUAUUUCAGUGCUGAAAAAGCUUUCCUUCAGGAGAUUAAUUCCCCCCCCCCCCUUUUAUCAUCUAUACAUCACAAAUGCUGCAGUAUUUAAUUCUGACAAAUCAAUAAAAAUGCUAAUUUCUUUGCUAAUCUGCUACUGACUAGGAAGCAAAAUCUUGUUUUUCCCUUGCAAUAUUGGGGGAUAGGGAGUGGAAACAGGCAGGGAAUGGAUUUGUCUACAGCUGUUUAGAAAGACAGCAAAAUCUGGAGACUCCUCACAUCAGCAGAUGGGAUAAGAGUAACACUCCUCCCUUUUUUGGCUUCACUAGUGCAAAACUGAUGCCAGUCAGAUAUCUGUAAGUUCUGCGUGGUCCAUGUGUUUCUAAUUACUGCUCUGUAUUUUAAUAACUCAUGUAUGAUUACAUUACUUUUAAUACAUUCCCUCAAGUAUAGCUUGAACUCUUGCCUAAGAAUUACUUUGAAAUACGAAAUUUUACACAGUACCUAACUGAGAUUCAAUCAGAGUUACUAAUAUUUCCUGCAUACAAAUGAAGUACAAAAAACUUCUGGGAAUUCUUAAGUUAUUGUUCAAGGUACAAUGGAAAAUAAUUUUUUCGUUUCUGCUGAGUCUCUCACAUGGAAAGUUUUCUCAGAAGACUUUAUUUAGUGUACUGUGGGAUCUCCUCCUCCAGAAGAAGCCACAGUAUCAUAAAAAAUAUUUGGGAUGCAGACUCACUGUAUCUGCAUGCCUAUGGCUCAGCCUAAGGUCAAUGAGAGCGGGGAGGAGAAAGCAAUAUAGCCUGAAGCAGCAGUACAGGAAAGACAGAAGCAAACAGAAUGUUGCAAGAACUGUAGUGCUCCUCAGAAUCCAUUAUACAAACCACCACUGUUCGUUUUGCCUUACGCAAGCGGAUCCUAGAGUUUUCAAGGCAGGGAAAAUCACGUUGGGAUGCAUGCUUAAAGGAAUGGAUGCAUGGUGGUGGUUGAUUUUGGCUGAGAUAAUGUCCAGGGAAUGUUCUACACCUCCAUACCCCUGUGCUGAAGUACACAAAUAGACAUAAGAGAGUGAUAUUGCUGUUGGUCCUAGCUGAAGUCACUCCCCACAGUGAUUGCAAAACCCCGAAGGAGAGAGAAAGAAACUGCAGAUGGUGAAGGAGAAGCAGGAACUCAUAAUUACAUAGCUCCACACAAAGAGAUAAUUAGGCACAUGUAAAAAAAACUUUUGUGCAAAACUUUAAGCGUUGCAUUUCCACAGAACACACAAACAGCUAUAAAACAAUUUAGAGAGCAUCUUCUCACUAAUAAAAUAUUAGUUGGCACAGAUGGCUUAUGCUUGUAUAGAAAUACCCGUCUUCAGGAAGAACUUUUUGCUGAAAAAUUAUGGCAUUAAUCGUAUUAAUACUUGAGAGCAAGUUGCUGUGGCUGGUGACAGAAAAACUCCAAUUCACUUUGUAAAGACAAUGAUUAAGGGAACAACAACAUUAAUUGUUGGCAAUUUCUGCGGUUCUCAUCUUGGAUUUAUAAAACUGCCUACUUUUGUUUCAAAUACUUGUUAUAUGCAUUCGUCUGAUAAAUCACAACUCAAAGUUUUAGUUUAAAGGUUCUUGUCCUUUUAGCAGCGGAGGAAAAAAAUGCUGAAUGUGUGAGUUAUUACAAAAUUAAACAUCUUAAUUAAAGAAAAUCAAACAUUUAACUAUAAAUUACUACCUGAGAGGUGAUAGUGGGUAUAGUGAGUUUCCUGGUUUCUGUGCAUUAAUGUGAGCUCUCAUGUGGUUGAUCUGUUCUACAUCUCUGAGCAAGUUUAGUACUGAAUUUCGGAAAACUGGAUCUUAGUAUUCUGUUGCCGUCUCAUUUAUGCUGCCCUCUCCCCACUCAGAGCUUCUUUACUCAAAGAUUAAACACCUGAGAAAGCCAUGGGAGAAAUAUACAGCUAUAAUUAACAUCAUGAAUCAUGGUACUCACCAGACUGGCUCCUCUGUAUGGGCUCCUCUGCUAGGUCACAGAAAAACCACAACAAAACACUAACACCACAACACAUGCACACUGAUGAUGGGUUGGAACAAGAAAAGCAACUCAGAUUGAUGCACAGAAUUAAGGGUUCUUUCCUCCCAUCAGCAACUUAGCUCCAAGUUCCAUAGCAGCAGUUAUGAUAGGGUACUGGGGUAAAGUGCAUUUCGAGACCCUCAGUGAAAACACUGACAUGGUGGAAUCUGGAUUGAGCCUGUCUGCUCCUAAAGUAGCUGCUAUGGGUGACCACCAUGCACAACGUACAAUAUACUUGGAGCAAAUUUCAGGUGUUGACGUGCCCUUUUAUUUAGCUUUAUGCUGAUAGCAUCUUUUAUGUGGCUGGGAAUAUACGGAGAGUCAGUGCGUAUUUUUAGGGUGUGGCAGCUUCCAUACAGGCUUUGGAAUUGCCAGUUUUCACUUUAAACAUUUGAGGACCUAGAGGACUUAUAAAUUUUUAUAAUAAAUUACAAGACUUUAAUUAUAAUUUUUAAGUUUGGCAUCUGUGUAGUUGAGUUCUUAUUUAAUAAUGUUGUUCAUAAAGUCUUACGAAGUCUUUACUAUAUUUCAGAGUUAGGAACUGUGAUUGCCUCCACGUAUCAAGUGAUUUCUAAGGUAGAGUCCUAGUAUCAUUUCUCCAUGAGGGGCGAAAACAAGCAAGCAAACAAAAAGCCCACAACACUCUUAUAUUCUCAGAAAAUAAAACUCAGUAGUAAAUUCCUCCUUCCUCAGGACUGAAAUCUGUUUCAACUGAAGCCAGUGCGUUCGAUUAGAAGCGGGAUCCAGCCAACCAAAGGGAUAACAAAGAAUAUUCACUUGUUCAUAUUAUUUCCAUUUUUUUUCUAUUUACUUUAUUAGUGUUUGUAUAAUUAGUGUGUUGAUAUAAUCUCAAAUUACUGUUAACAGAAAUUUAUAGAUGGACUGCAAUAACAUUAUAAUUAAAACAUGGGAAAAAAGAUCACUAUCUGUGUUUAUUUAUUUUAGAAAUCAGAAAAACAUAGUUUUUAUGAGUCAGUUAUUUUUUCCAUCUAUUAAAAAAUUGCAUUAUGCAGGAGCUCAAUAAAAUUAGCAUAAGUUCUAGGAGAGCUAAUGACAAUAUUGAAACUGUACUGAACUCAGAUAGUCAUAUAUUUAAAGUACACUAGAAAACAUAUUUUCAAUAUUUUGUCUGUGUCUUAUAUUUCUAGCCUAUGUGGAAGUGCUGAGAAGUACUAUGUAUUUCUGAUCUGAUAUUGAGAGAGGUAAAUAUAACACUUUGAGACAUACAUAAACAAAUAUCCAACAACAGUGACAGUACAUCUCUGUCAAUUACGGCUUCUUGCACUGGUUUUAUUGGAGUCGGCAGAAUCCAGAAAAAUCAUCAGUUGUUAGCUGUGUAAUAUUCUCUAAUAGUUCUACUGCUUUUUGCUUCUGAAAAGAAAAUUCAGAAUAAGGGAAGGCUUGCUCCAGAUUCGUCAAGUUGGUAGUAACAAUCUGUUCCAUUUUUUAGAGUUUGCUUUACCUCUAUCUGUGAAAUCAUCUCCACUUGCUUGGAGGAGGAAGAACUUGCAAUUUUCUAAACUGUCAUAGCAAUAUUUUUUCACAGCCCAACUACUUAUAGCCCUGAAUGAUGAAGCAGAAGGGAUUACGGAUGCCAAGGACAUCAUAUGACCACUCAUGCAGUCACUUUUAAAAUAUUAUUUGGAGAAUGUCUUUGUUUCGGAUGGAAUAGAGUUAAUUAUCUUCCUAGUAACUGGUACAGUGCUGUAUUUCGGAUUUAGGAUGACAAUAGCGCUCAUAACAUGGAUGUUUUAAUUGCUACUUACAGUAAGUCAAGGAGUGCACCCUCAGCAAAUUUGCAGAUGACAACAAGCUGUGUGGUGUGUUUGACACGCCUGAAGGAUGGGAUGCUGACCAGAGAGACACAGACAGCCUCAAGCAGCGGGCUCAGGAGAACCUCAUGAGGUUCAACAAA
Numida meleagris (helmeted guineafowl) is the source of this 4577-nucleotide long non-coding RNA. RefSeq lists it as uncharacterized. The record is from RefSeq and is a predicted model, not a curated record. Lineage: Eukaryota; Metazoa; Chordata; Aves; Galliformes; Numididae. The transcript is spliced from 2 exons.